AUGCGAACAGCGAGCAGGACCUUGAAAAUUGAACAAAACUGAAACUUGUGGAACCUUAUCGUGGGUUUCCAAACCCACGUAAAUCAAUUCCAAAUUACAAGUAAUUCAAACAGGACGCAAGCGAUUGUGUCUGAGUGAUUUACAAGAUUAAACACUUAUAAAGUGAUUUAAUACCAUUUUAUAAAGAGUUUGAUCCUGGCUCAGGACGAACGCUGGCGGCGCGCCUAACACAUGCAAGUCGAACGGAGUUAUUUCGGUUGAAGUUUUCGGAUGGAUACUGGUUUAACUUAGUGGCGAACGGGUGAGUAACGCGUGAGUAACCUGCCCUGGAGUGGGGGACAACAGUUGGAAACGACUGCUAAUACCGCAUAAGCCCACGAUCCGGCAUCGGAUUGAGGGAAAAGGAUUUAUUCGCUUCAGGAUGGACUCGCGUCCAAUUAGCUAGUUGGUGAGGUAACGGCCCACCAAGGCGACGAUUGGUAGCCGGACUGAGAGGUUGAACGGCCACAUUGGGACUGAGACACGGCCCAGACUCCUACGGGAGGCAGCAGUGGGGGAUAUUGCACAAUGGGGGAAACCCUGAUGCAGCGACGCCGCGUGGAGGAAGAAGGUUUUCGGAUUGUAAACUCCUGUCGUUAGGGACGAAUCUUGACGGUACCUAACAAGAAAGCACCGGCUAACUACGUGCCAGCAGCCGCGGUAAAACGUAGGGUGCAAGCGUUGUCCGGAAUUACUGGGUGUAAAGGGAGCGCAGGCGGACCGGCAAGUUGGAAGUGAAAUCUAUGGGCUCAACCCAUAAAUUGCUUUCAAAACUGCUGGCCUUGAGUAGUGCAGAGGUAGGUGGAAUUCCCGGUGUUUCGGU
This 862-nucleotide ribosomal RNA is filed under the name Subdoligranulum variabile DSM 15176. Its description in RNAcentral is "bacterial SSU rRNA". The stretch from base 178 to 862 matches the Rfam family "Bacterial small subunit ribosomal RNA", at positions 1 to 682 of the family's 1533-position model. Lineage: Bacteria; Bacillati; Bacillota; Clostridia; Eubacteriales; Oscillospiraceae. The record is from RNAcentral.